This 1595-nucleotide long non-coding RNA is filed under the name Nicotiana benthamiana. Its description in RNAcentral is "long non-coding RNA (NBEN_LNC018771)". The record is from RNAcentral. Lineage: Eukaryota; Viridiplantae; Streptophyta; Magnoliopsida; Solanales; Solanaceae.
UUACUUUCUCUUAUCAUAGUUCAUGUACAUAAACACCAAACCCAAAUUCAUGUUAACCACAUGACUAGCCCAUGAUUUACCAGAUAUUACAAGCCAAACAUAAAACCAAACAGAUAAUAAAGUAGAAUGUGACAAAGAGACCAAACUAACUAUAGGAAUUGAUGAUUUGUAAGAGGUAGAAUUCAAUAAACUGAUAUAUUUUACAUUUCAACUCAAUCAGACACAUUGUGUUCCUCCAUUUCACAUGUCAAAGAGGUAAAAAUAUCUGGAAAUGACAAAGGAAAUAAAGAACUGAAGAAUCAGUGGACAACAGCAAGCAAAAUAGAGCCCAGACUCGGUCAAUAAAACAGUAAAAACCAGCUCAAAAAACAGUCGAUGUGGAGGAACCACAAAUCAACACCCCAACUUCAAACCAAACUCAAACCAUUUUCUCAAACCCAACAGUAUAACUAUGGAGCUUUUUCAAGAGUUUUAGCUAAAAGAAUCAGAAAUCCAAAAAAAAAAACAAGCCACAUUUUGAGCAGUUUUCCACCAAGAACUGCAGAAAAUCAGUAUUCUUUUUAGAGUCAGCCGUUCAGUUUUUUCAGGUUAUUUUAUCUCUAAUUUUUGACUUCAGUUUCAAGUAUAAAUGCCUUUAUAGGCAAGGUUUUAGGGUUGCAGAAACAAGCUCUAUUUUGCACUUAAAACCUCUUGCAAUUUUGGUUGCUCAGGUACCCUCACUUAAAGAAUCAAAUUUUCAGUUAAGCUCCAACGACACCUUCCUAGCAACUUCCUAAUUCAGUUACUGAGAUUUCCCCUAUCUAGAGUUCCUAAAUUACCCCUUUAAGCCUUGUUAAUUACUUCAAAGACCAGACACAUAUGGGUCAAAAGUCAGACUGACCCAAUGAUUUAAUUCAAAAAUCCAGGCUUGCAAGACUAGAUUGAAUCUCUUUUCCGGGCUUCUGAAUUUAAAGCCCGCAUGGAAUCAUUGGGCUAGGAAAAAUUUCCCAAGAGAAAAAUUGAAUUUCUUUUCUUUGAAAACCAGAAAAUGAAAUAACACAAAGACGCAGAGAAAUUAACACGACAUGCAUGAAGAAAACUCGUUUUAAAACAUACAAACAGAUUAAUUUAAAACGAAAACAAAACGGAAAAGAUGAAGUAAAAGGAGAUGGUAAUAGAACUUAAAAAAAACAAAAUAUGGAACAGAAGAAAAAUGACAGAAAGGAAAAGGACUGAAAAUACCUAAACCAAGUGGAAAAAGCCUUGAAAAUAUUCAAAGAAAACUCCGAUUUUUGAACGAAAUAGGCCCUAAUCGUGUGUUCUCAAACGAAAACACACGAAUAAAGCCAAUUUCGGCCUUAAACCUUCGUUAAACUCACUGAUUUGGGUUUUGGGAUUUCAGAGUUCCACAUUCGAUCUAAGAUUUGAGAAGUUCUUGUAAGAUUCGAGGGAAAUGGUGCGUGGAUUUGGAAUGAGGGGAUGAAGGGGGUGAUAUGGUGUAAAUCUGGGCCAAUUUGGUGGUGGCGCCACCACCGGAGGAUGGUGGAAUCGUGGGGUGGCUUCUAAGGUUUUCUAUUUGUUCUCUGAAGAAGGUGAAGGGUUGAGAGAGACGAGUG